UACGAAGGGGGCUAGCGUUGCUCGGAAUUACUGGGCGUAAAGGGCGCGUAGGCGGACAGCUUAGUCAGAGGUGAAAGCCCCGGGCUCAACCUGGGAACCGCGCUUGAGACUGGCACGCUAGAGUUCGGGAGAGGAUGGUGGAAUUCCCAGUGUAGAGGUGAAAUUCGUAGAUAUUGGGGAGAACACCGAUGGCGAAGGCAGCCAUCUGGACCGACACUGACGCUGAGGCGCGAAAGCGUGGGGAGCAAACAGG
Molecule: ribosomal RNA, 253 nt
Filed under: uncultured bacterium
Lineage: Bacteria
Description: partial 16S ribosomal RNA
Rfam family: Bacterial small subunit ribosomal RNA
Source: RNAcentral